CCUACGGGAGGCAGCAGUGAGGAAUAUUGGUCAAUGGACGCAAGUCUGAACCAGCCAUGCCGCGUGCAGGAUGACGGCUCUAUGAGUUGUAAACUGCUUUUGUACGAGGGUAAUAUCAGAUACGUGUAUCAGCUUGAAAGUGUCGUCCGAAUAAGGAUCGGCUAACUCCGUGCCAGCAGCCGCGGUAAUACGGAGGAUCCAAGCGUUAUCCGGAUUUAUUGGGGUUAAAGGGUGCGUAGGCGGUUUUAUAAGUUAGAGGUGAAAAUUCGGAGCGCAACUCCGGACGUGCCUUUAAUACUGUAUGAAUAGAGAAUAGAUGCGGUAGGCGGAAUGUAUGGUGUAGCGGUGGAAUGGGUAGAGAUCAUACAGAACACCGAGUGCGAAGGGAGCUUACCAAACUAUAUCCGACGUUGAGGCACGAAAGCGUGGGGAGCCAACAGGAAUAGAUACCCCAGUAGGC
RNAcentral lists this ribosomal RNA (460 nucleotides) under uncultured bacterium. Its description in RNAcentral is "partial 16S ribosomal RNA". It matches the Rfam family "Bacterial small subunit ribosomal RNA", at positions 338 to 795 of the family's 1533-position model. The record is from RNAcentral.